This 253-nucleotide ribosomal RNA is filed under the name uncultured bacterium. RNAcentral's name for it is "partial 16S ribosomal RNA". It matches the Rfam family "Bacterial small subunit ribosomal RNA", at positions 524 to 776 of the family's 1533-position model. The record is from RNAcentral.
UACGAAGGGGGCUAGCGUUGUUCGGAAUCACUGGGCGUAAAGGGCGCGUAGGCGGCUUUAUAAGUCGGGGGUGAAAGCCUGUGGCUCAACCACAGAACUGCCUUUGAUACUGAAGAUCUUGAGUCCGGGAGAGGUGAGUGGAACUGCGAGUGUAGAGGUGAAAUUCGUAGAUAUUCGCAAGAACACCAGUGGCGAAGGCGGCUCACUGGCCCGGUACUGACGCUGAGGUGCGAAAGCGUGGGGAGCAAACAGG